CGAAAGAUGGUGAACUAUGCCUGGCCAGGAUGAAGCCAGAGGAAACUCUGGUGGAGGUCCYSAGCGAUUCUGACGUGCAAAUCGAUUGUCAGAGCUGGGUAUAGGGGCGAAAGACUAAUCGAACCAUCUAGUAGCUGGUUCCCUCCGAAGUUUCCCUCAGGAUAGCUGGURCUCAKWAUURMUGAAUUCCAUCCGGUAAAGCGAAUGAUUAGAGGUCUUGGGGACGAAACGUCCUCAACCUAUUCUCAAACUUUAAAUGGGUGURAAUGYCAWGCUUGCUURAACAUUAUGCUACAAACGAGUUGAGGAGCCGUAAAAAAGUUCCGCAUAUGAGUUUGCAUUUUGAAGCUAUGGCUUAUAAAAAAUCAAGAGUACCAAGUGGGCCACUUUU
RNAcentral lists this ribosomal RNA (391 nucleotides) under Phylladiorhynchus butes. Its description in RNAcentral is "partial large subunit ribosomal RNA". Lineage: Eukaryota; Metazoa; Arthropoda; Malacostraca; Decapoda; Galatheidae. The record is from RNAcentral.